CCAUACAUCCGUCCUCCACCAGUCGCGGACUGUGGGCCGGGGGGGAGGGGUGGCAUUAUUAAUCCGGGAAGAUUGUUCUUUCAGGGCUCUACCAUCGCCAUCGAUCCCCGGCAUUGAAUGUGUUGGCCUAGUGUGGGGCUCCGAGGUGAGCUUGGCUGUCUGGCUGGUGUACCGGCCACCUAGCGCACCAACAGCCACCCUGUCAGGCCUGCUGGAGGCGGUGGCCGGCUGGGCCUUGGAGUUCCCUAACCUAUUGGUAUUGGGGGACUUCAACAUCCAUGCUGAUGCCACUCCCACCUCACAAGCUCUGGACCUGGUGUCUUCCAUGGCGACACUAGGGCUCUCCCAGUUUGUUUCGGGCCCCACACAUCAAACAGGCCACACGCUGGAUUUGAUCUUUGGCGUCGGUAUAGAUGUGAUCAUGUUUCCUUCGAUGAAGGUGCCAUGGUCUGAUCACUACGCUCUGAAAGCCAGGAUUGACGUUCCACCCCCACCCUGCUUGGGUGGCGAGCCGAUUUGGGCUCGCCCGCGGAGGCUGAUGGACCCUGAUAGAUUCCGUCAAGCCUUGCGGGACCUUGCUCCCCCUGGCGACUCAUUGACUGAGCUUGUUGAGGGCUGGAAUACCCUGCUCCUGGCAGCCAUCAAUGAGAUCGCACCUAAGCGCCCUCUGCGACCCCGCAGAAACCGGGCUCCCUGGUUUACCGAGGAGCUCCGGAAAAUGAAGCGGGACCUCAGACAGCUAGAGCGAGUAUGGCGGGGUGCCCGUGACGGAGCUUCAAGAACAUCCUAUAGGGUUUUUAUGAAAACCUAUGAGAUGGCAGUGAAGGCCGCUAAGAAGUCCUACUUCUCGGCCUCCAUUGCAACCGCCAGCUCUCGCCCGGCGCAAUUAUUUAGUAUAAUUCGGUCUUUAACGUCCCUCGAAGGACAGCCAAAUUUAAAUAACAAUUUGACACACAGCUGUGAGGCAUUUGCGAGCUUUUUUGCGGAGAAGGUCCUGUUGCUCCGCCAUGACCUCCCCGCCAAUUUCGAUACAAUAAAGGAACUGGAGGCCCCUCGACUGUCCUCGGGUCCAGUAUUGGACCACUUUGACCGGAUAUCCCCAGCCGAUGUGGACAGACUCCUCUGAGC
Molecule: long non-coding RNA, 1128 nt
Filed under: Podarcis muralis (Common wall lizard)
Lineage: Eukaryota; Metazoa; Chordata; Lepidosauria; Squamata; Lacertidae
Description: lncRNA (ENSPMRG00000005819.1)
Source: RNAcentral